RNAcentral lists this ribosomal RNA (427 nucleotides) under uncultured bacterium. RNAcentral describes it as "partial 16S ribosomal RNA". It matches the Rfam family "Bacterial small subunit ribosomal RNA", at positions 355 to 774 of the family's 1533-position model. The record is from RNAcentral.
UGGGGAAUAUUGGACAAUGGGCGAAAGCCUGAUCCAGCCAUGCCGCGUGUGUGAAGAAGGUCUUCGGAUUGUAAAGCACUUUAAGUUGGGAGGAAGGGCAUUAACCUAAUACGUUAGUGUUUUGACGUUACCGACAGAAUAAGCACCGGCUAACUCUGUGCCAGCAGCCGCGGUAAUACAGAGGGUGCAAGCGUUAAUCGGAAUUACUGGGCGUAAAGCGCGCGUAGGUGGUUUGUUAAGUUGGAUGUGAAAUCCCCGGGCUCAACCUGGGAACUGCAUUCAAAACUGACUGACUAGAGUAUGGUAGAGGGUGGUGGAGUUUCCUGUGUAGCGGUGAAAUGCGUAGAUAUAGGAAGGAACACCAGUGGCGAAGGCGACCACCUGGACUAAUACUGACACUGAGGUGCGAAAGCGUGGGGAGCAAACA